This 460-nucleotide ribosomal RNA is filed under the name uncultured bacterium. RNAcentral describes it as "partial 16S ribosomal RNA". It matches the Rfam family "Bacterial small subunit ribosomal RNA", at positions 338 to 795 of the family's 1533-position model. The record is from RNAcentral.
CCUACGGGAGGCAGCAGUGAGGAAUAUUGGACAAUGGACGCAAGUCUGAACCAGCCAUGCCGCGUGCAGGAAGACGGCUCUAUGAGUUGUAAACUGCUUUUGUACGAGGGUAAACGCAGAUACGCGUAUCUGUCUGAAAGUAUCGUACGAAUAAGGAUCGGCUAACUCCGUGCCAGCAGCCGCGGUAAUACGGAGGAUUCAAGCGUUAUCCGGAUUUAUUGGGUUUAAAGGGUGCGUAGGCGGUCGGAUAAGUUAGAGGUGAAAUCCCGAGGCUCAACUUCGGAAUUGCCUCUGAUACUGUUCGGCUAGAGAGUAGGUGCGGUAGGCGGAAUGUAUGGUGUAGCAGUGAAAUGCUUAGAGAUCAUACAGAACACCGAUUGCGAAGGCAGCUUACCAAGCUACUUCUGACGUUGAGGCACGAAAGCGUGGGGAGCAAACAGGAUUAGAUACCCGGGUAGUC